AAAAAGACCUUAAUACACACUUUUAAAUCAUAACAUCUCAAAAAAGAAGUACACAUAAUAAGUUUCCUUUGUAUAGCGUCCUAAGCUAUGCGCUGUCUAACUUAACUAAUGCAACUAUAUCCAUAUUGAACGCAUAACAUUUAGUGUGUAUGUGAUGAUCAUUUCAUCAAAUGCUCCUAAAUACUUCGAAAUUAGUCUCAAUUGAUAGCUAGUUGAAGGAAAAAUUUGAAAAUAAUAAUAAUAUUUUAUUAAUUUUUACUUUAAAAAAUUAUUUUUAUUUUCUAAAAAUUGACAAGGACUUAACAAAUUAGUAGAUCAACCCUCAUACAUGCUUGAUUUCUUGUUUGGAGUGCAGCAUUGCAAGCAAUUGGGAGAAAUUGGGGAAAUUUUGAAUUUUCCCCAAAUCAGACCACCUACACUCAAAUGUUGAAAUUAGAGUGUACGUGAUGAUCAUUUCAUCAAAUACUUAUAAAUACUUCAGAAUUAGUCUUAAUUGAUAGCUAGUUGAAGGAAAGUUUCGAACAAAACAUAGAGAACAUGAAGAACCAAUGGAUAUCAAAAUCAAAACUCCAACUCCAUGAUUUUUCAUGCAAAACAUGAAAAACCAAUGGAUUUAUAACCAUUUGACACCAAUUUAACAUAAUUUCAAAAAAAAAAGGAUUGGAAAUUGAAAAUGCUCAGCGGAUCGAACAUGUAGGAUAUAUCGACACUAUUUGUGUGUUUCGUAUUGCACAUGUGGGAUACAAGAUAUAUCGUGGGAUAUAUCGGCCGAUAUUGUUGAUAUUUAAAACAUUAGUCUGGAAAGCUAACCCUUCCAUUAGGCCAAGAUUACUUGAUCGAUUUUCCAUUUCUCUGAGCAAUGGUGUGAAUAUUCAAUUUUGGACAGUUAUAUGGGCCUUUGAUAGGCCUCUUAAUGCAGGGACAUUUUCCCACCGAGCUCGAGUGGGGUAGCCUAUGGGAUGUAGGGACACACUUGAGGUGGGUGGCCCGUGUGAAGCGGAAACCAUGUGAAGUGGGGCCCACGAGGGGGGUUCGACUUAGGUCCUAACCCAUGCGAUGUAGGGCCUGGGCUAUGAGAUAAAGGGAUUGAUUCGCCAUGCUCUAUCAGUUUGAGCUUUUAGAGCAAGUGGCUAGUUAUCCUGCAUCAAAGUGGUAUCAAAGCGGGAGGUCUCGUGUUUGAGACUCCUCACUAGGAGUGAUUAAUGCAUGGACAUUUUCACACCGAGCUUGAGUGGGGUAGCUUGUGAGAUGUGGGGACACACUCGGGGUGGGUGGCCCAUGUGAAGCGGAACCCAUGUGAAGUGGGGCCCACAAGGGAGGUUUGGCCGAGGUCCUAACCCAUGCGAUACGGGACUUGGGCUAUGAGAUAAAGGGAUUGAUUCACCAUGCUCUAUCAGUUCGAGCUUUAAAGCAAGUAGCUAGUUGUCCUACAUCACCUCUUCAAGCCCUUUUUUCCCAGAUUGGAAGUUUAGCUGUGAAUAUUUCAGCUUCCGUUGUCCUGUUUUUCUGAUGUUGGGUCUGGGGUCCAGUGUCCGCUUGCAGGUGGUCUUUGUUAGAGUUGGAGUUGGAGGAUUUUAUCAGGUUGCCAAAGCUACUGAAGAAUAUAUGCCCUUUCCUGAAUUUGGUUGAUUCUAUCUUCUGCUUUCAGUCUCCUUUUGGGAAGUGCACUAUCCACUCUACUCUCUAUUCAAGUUUUCCAGCUCCCCUCCUGCCUCGAGUUAGCCUACCUUUCCCUCCUUCAUUUGGAAGUAUGGUGCCUCCCUAAAAAUCGCUCCCCUUUCCUUGUUUCUGGCCAGAGCUAGGGAAGAAUCCUAACUAUUAACAAUUUGCACUGUUGGGGUCUGAUUUUGCCUAACAUAUGCUCUCUCUGUUAGAAGGCUGCGGAAUACAUCGGCCACCUCUUUAUUCACUGCUCUUAUGUUGGCGAGAUCUAGUCUGUUAUCUUUGAUAGAUUGCAUGUCUCCUGGGCGGUGAUGCCCUAUGAAACCUCAUGAUCUCCUCUUUUUGUGGCAUGGUAGUUGUGGAGGUGUGAUCUCUAAGGCUUCCAGGUGCUUGCUUAUCUUUGCGAAUUUUUUUUAUUUUUUUAAUAUAGUUGAGCUUGGUCUUUGUUUUAUUUUUCUUCUUUUUGUUUUUGUUCCCUUUUUCUAUCUUUUUUUUUUUUUGUGUCUUGUUUUGCUUUUCGCCUCUUGACACUUUUAAUAAAUUCUUGCAUUCUUCAAAAAAGAAGAAGAAGGAAAUCUAUUUACUAGGUUUUCUGGUCUAUUGUUUUGUUCUCCAAUAAUAACAAUAUAUAACAUUUUAGAAACUGUUUAUAACUCUUCCAAAAGAAAAGUUCAUAAAGUUAGCAGAUGGCAUUUAAAGCGCUUUAUAAAUGUGUCUUAGUCAAUUCCUUUAUUUAUGUCAAUUCUUCGCUCCUAGUAGAGCUCAACGCCAGCAAGCUUUUGUUUAUUCGUUUGUCUUUUGACUGUACUAUGAGGCAUGGGGAUGGAGAAUUAGCUGGAAGUUGUUUCCUUGUUUGUGCAGGCUUUUGUCAUUAAUGAAAUUAUGAGUGUAAAAACAUGCUAUUGUUCCUUUUAUCAUGUUAAGCAGUCAAGGUGACAUCUCCUUGGCUUAUUUAGUAGAUCUUGCAUCAGAUGGCGGGAAAAGAAAUCUAUUCUGACCGGACUUAUGGAUAGGAGAUUAUCCGCUUGCAAUUGCCCUUCCAUCUUUAGCCCGGGUAGCUGCACAUUCGGAAGUAAUGAUUGAUAAAUAUGCAUCCUUAGUGGGCAGAUCAGUGGUGUGGGCGCCACCAUAUAGAAGAAACUUAAUGGACGUGGAAGCAAAGAAGUUUGCACAACUAUUGGAAUGACUCCAAUGUCUUAGGCGGCAGCCAAGUGAGAAGGAUUCAAUGGUAUGGUCACCAGAAAGACUAGGACGGUUUACGGUUCACUCCUUCUACAAGUUACUGUGCAUUUCACCUCUGAGGGAAGAUAGAGGCAGGUUAUCUUUCUUAUGGUGCAGAGCUCCCCCUAAAGUGGUGGCGUUCAAGUGGUUGGUAGGCAGGAAUAAGAUUCUUACCAUUGAGAACCUUCGGAAAAGGGCAAAGAUUAUUCCUAAUUGUUGCAUUUUAUGUGUAUGAGAGGGGCAGAAAUGGUGGACUACCUUUUUAUUCAUUGCCCAUUCGCACAGGUGUGGGACAGAUUUAUUGCCUUCUUCCCUUCAGAAUGGGUGAUGCCAAUAUUGGUUGUUGACCUUUUUUCUAGCAUUGCCUGGAGGCGUUAUGAGGAAAAAGGAGAUAAAAUGGCGAAGCCUAGUAAUGAUGGCAGUUAUAUGGGCUAUAUGGAGAGAGAGGAACAAUCGAUGCUUCUGAAACAAAAGUGAAUCGGAGGCAAAUGUGUAUAGAAAGGCCAAAAUGGAUGUAAUAGGGUCGAUUUCUGUAUCAAAGGACUUUGAUCCGAAUGUUGGAUCACUUCUAGCAGGAUUGUAAUUUUAUUGUAUUCAGAGCUUUUUGCUCUUGUUUAAUAAAUAAAUCAUCAUCUUUCAAAAAAAAAAAAAACUAUUUACCAAGGUACAGCUCAUCAUGAUGAUUAACCUCCAAUGCACGAUCAUUGCAAUUACCAAGGUAACAUAUGAUAUGAUGCGGACCUGGUUAUAGGUGAUUUCACAUGAUGGAUCUGUUUGGGAUGAUAGCUAGCAUUCGUGAGGUGGAUUUUCAACUCAGAUCAAUAUCAAUGGUACUGCUGAGUGCAUACUAAGAAGGCAAAAAAAGGUAUCAAGAGAAUGAGCAGUAGUGAUCGAUUCUGAUCAUGGAAAAUUUAUGAAAAGAGUGGUAACUGUGGUGAGUAAAUGCUCCAAUGUGGAUGUGCAUAUUUAUUUUGCUGGCAAGAUUUUCCAUUUGGUAUUUCGACCUUUUGUUCAGUACAAGUUCUUUAGGUAUGACAUUUGGGAAAUGUGUGCAUAUCAAGUUCCUGUCAUAGAUGUAUCUGUCAUACUUUAGUUUGCUGCUGACAGUUGGCCUGUGAUUUCACUUAAUGUGUGAUUGACCUUCAUCUUUCAAAUCAAAGUAGCAUCUCACAAACAAAAGUUGAAAGAAUGUUCUUAACAUUAGAAUUUUUUAUGCUUUGAAGUUGAAAGGAUGCCCAGCUUUUAUGAUAUACCUAACAUACUGACUCGCAUUUUUUCGUUUUUAGUACGAAGUGUAAACCAUUGGUUACAAAUCUAGCGAGUAUUUAUCUAGUUGCCAGCGUGAAGAAUGUGGUCUUGGACACAUGGUGUAUUGUUAAGUUCCUGGCUGCAAGCUAGAGGUGCAUUCUGAUUGCCCUCAAGGAUCUUUUACAAAAUUGAACAAAAUAGGUUCUGCUGAGGUCUAUAUUACCCAAACACUUAAAGUGGGCAUUGAACCUUUGGCUAACAUUUCAUUUUAAGUGUAUGUGCCAUACACAUGAUGUUUCUAGCAUGUACUCUUUGCUGUGAGCAAGCAAUGUGGAUUAAAAAAAAUAAAAAAUACUAAACCUUGAUUAUUUCUUGAGCAAGGACAAUACGGUGCAUGGAUAGAAAGGAUGAUGGUGUUGAAGAGUUAAUGGAGCAAGUUUAAUCCAAUGAAUCAGGCUAUUAGAAAAAAAAAAAAAAACUAUGAAUCAGAACUUUUUCCCUUCUGUUUGUUGUUUCUUAACCAUGAGUUGUAGAGGUGGUUUGUGAAUGUUCUAUCUAAACUCUCGUUGUUUUUCUUUCUGUGCUGUGAGUUCGACUUUGCUUUUGUUAGUCAGGUGCCAUUUCUCGUUGAGAAGAAGAUUAUGCAGAGUUUGUAGUAGCAAUUCCUAUGCUUUACCACUUCAGAGAAAGAGGUAAAAGUUCAGUAUUAGGAGUAAUGGUUUGUAAGUUAUAACGAUUCAUAGAAACGAGUUCAGAGUUAAAACAAGGAGUUAUUGGUGAGCAUGUCAAAUAAGGGGUUCCUCUCUUUGGU
Long non-coding RNA from Magnolia sinica, 4942 nucleotides. RefSeq lists it as uncharacterized. NCBI's taxonomy places the organism in Eukaryota, Viridiplantae, Streptophyta, Magnoliopsida, Magnoliales, Magnoliaceae. The record is from RefSeq and is a predicted model, not a curated record. The transcript has 2 exons.